AGGACGAACUAGGAUCAUGCCUAGCGUUUACCUAGUCUUCGAUGACUGGUCGCGAGGGCACAGCAUCCGCGAGGUAAUAAUCCCGUCUUCCGGCUCUGCCAUCUCAGCCCCGGCCGACGCGAAGCCCACGCCUCCGGUGUUCCUGCGCUUGGAGGCAAGGCAUGGGGCGCCGCAGCACUUCGUGUCAGCCUUCGGCACCAACAUCUUGGCCAUGCACAGCAGGUACUACGAGGGCAACUGUUCUAUGAUCGGGGGCUUCACCACCAUGGUCGACGUCCGCGAGCGGAGCCUCACCCUUUUCCCCGGGCAGUUUUAUCCGUGUCAUCCCAUUUAUUUCUCCGACGGCGACAAGCUGUUCUGCCUGAGCCUAGGCAGCUUCGAGAUGAUCGUCUGGGACCGGGACCCCCCGCUGGAUUCUUCUCACGGCGGGGAGAGCCCGUGGGAACAGCUCCCGGAACCGCCGUUCGGGCGUUAUGACGUCACCUCCUACGCCGUGCAGCCUCAGUCGUGGAUCUUCGUCGUCAGCACCAAGAUAGACGCCACUGAGGCCACCUUCGCCUUUGACAUGGUGGAACUUUCGUGGAAACGACUUGGCAGCUGGGCGCUGCCCUUCGAUGGCCGUGGUCACUUUGACCAGGACCUCAAUGCCUUUGUCGGACUCUCCAAAGAACCGGACACCCUCGGCCAACUGGGCCAGGACGCGGAGUAACUGAGGGCGAGCUCAGAUGCGCUCGAUAUCGAGGUCGUCGGUUAGCGCUUCCGGAUCGGAGCCAUUUUUUUUAUACGUGAGGUUGCGGUGUGCCAAAAAAUGAAUACUGUUGGGAAAUACGUACGCGGCUGUGAUGGGUGGUAGACGGCCGCCCGCCAUCGGCGAGGUGAGCCGUGGAUCAGAAUCGACGGCGCCAUCUGAUCCGUGGCUCGGGAAGUUCACUUCCUGUGUACUGGUUGCAGGAGCGAGAGUUUUCUCGCCCAGCGCGUGGAUCAUUUGGAAGCCGAGGACUGCAGGAUGGUGUUACUGAUGCAGACUGUCGGCAGAUCCACUCUGCUUGAGCUAGGGAAGACUUUGGUGCCUGCCCCUGUGGUUGUGAAUGGCCCUGCGGUGACGGAUUUUGAGGUGGCACAUCAGGCGGAGCGCGAGGCGGCGCAACAUCGGAUGGAGGACAGGGGCAAAGCACAAAUCUUCUCGGCGAAGGAGGCGGCAGCCGACAAAAGGGAGAGCUCGCCGCCGCCGCCGCCAGAGCUGUCAACGAUGAAGAUGAAUCCCCAAGCGCCGGGAUGGAACACGAGGUUAGUGAAGAACAAGCUGCAUCCCAUCCGAUAUUCAGGGAUUUAGGAAACAAACCUAGACAUGACUGAAGAAAUUGUACAGUUAGAGCAAGUGCUGAUUACUCACUGCAUUGAGGAAAUUCAUGCUGUAUGUGCUUGUGUUUGCAGGCUGAUUGCUCUGUGCAUUCAGAAAAUUCAUGUUUGCAGGCUGAUUCCUCUCUGCAUUCAGAAAAUCCAUGUCAUAUGUGCCUGUGUUUGCAGGUUGACUGCUCUCUGCAUUCGUAAAAUUGAUGCUAUAUGUAGCUGUUUUGCGGGCUUAGGAUUGGUGCCGCCGCUCCUAGCAGAACACCGUGCCCAGAUCGUAUCAGUGCGUUCGAGAAGGCAGCCAGAUGCUCGUAGAGAACCUAGCUGAAAACGUGAUCACACCGGUUCUUGGUCCUACUUUCAACUCUUAGGGAGAGGUGUAGAACUUCUACAAUCUGUACUCAUGGGAGAAGGGGUUUGGCAUCUGGUAUGGGAAGAGCCGGCUAAAUGCCGAGAGGACAAAGUGCAUCCAUGAGAUAGUGUGUGGGUGCUCGGGUGAAGCUGGUGUUUGAAACUUUGAAUGCGGGUGUGGUCAGUUUGCUCACAUGGGAUUGUUACGUAGCCAUGUCCCGAAGGUGCUCGAUUUCAUCAGAAUAAAAGAAAUUCCACAGAAGCACAUAGUUAAUAGGUGGACCAGAGAUGCAAGGUAUAUUCUGCCUGCUCACCUUACACAAUAUCAAAGGGACUAUGCUCACAAGAAUCCAUUCAGUUUUACGCAUUUCACUGUGUGCUUCCUUAGUAUAUGG
Molecule: long non-coding RNA, 2096 nt
Organism: Triticum aestivum (bread wheat)
Lineage: Eukaryota; Viridiplantae; Streptophyta; Magnoliopsida; Poales; Poaceae
Exons: 4
Source: RefSeq, a predicted model, not a curated record